Paramacrobiotus metropolitanus is the source of this 587-nucleotide long non-coding RNA. RefSeq lists it as uncharacterized. The record is from RefSeq and is a predicted model, not a curated record. NCBI's taxonomy places the organism in Eukaryota, Metazoa, Tardigrada, Eutardigrada, Parachela, Macrobiotidae. The transcript is spliced from 4 exons.
UGGGGUAUGAAAAGAUUGUGGGUUUUGGUAGAGAUUGCAGCGCGAUAGCGAUAAUACUGGAUUCCCAGUUAUUUGGUAUUUCCGGUUCAUGCAGCAGGAUCUCGGCAGUUCCCGGACAGUCACCUUUCUUCUCAACCUACAGUUGAAACAAGCGUCGGAUAAAAUGCCACUGGCUGGGGUAUUCCAGGUGGUUCACCCAUCGCUGAUGAAUGGAGCGCACGUCAUUGUACACUGUUGCAUCAACCGGAGGAUAGUACUUCUCCGCCGCUAGUAAAAACUUUUGGAGGAUCCCGGCAUCACCAUCAUCGGCUAGCAGCGUUAGAUGCCGGAUCGUAGUUGGAACCAUUCGCUUAUCUGACAUCCAUUCAUAACCUGCUGCCUUCCAUGGAAAUGCUAACAACCCACCGUAAACCAUAUAUGGCAAAGUCUGUGUACUGAUGGUCGCCGAUCACAGUAACGCUUCUGGUUGCGUCGGUUAUGGCCUUUUUCACGGCCCAGUAUGGAGCUGUCGAUGGUAACGUGUCGGCUGGAGCAACGCUGGGAUAGCAGCAGAUACCACAAUAUACAGACCCUGGAGUGAAUACUUA